AAAAACUAUGGUUUCAGUUCAGUUUCAGUUCAGUGAAACCAGUUUUUUUGCACACUCCUAGGAACAGCUGUAGAAUAUUUAUGAUAUGGUUCCUGUAUACUUUUUUCUCAAACGCUCAAAUAACCUAAUAUUUGCAAAAGCCCCAUAUACAAAUCAUUUGAUUCAUGUGUAAGAAUUAAUACAUAAUUGACAUUUUUUUGUGGAAUUUUAUGUUUUUACUUAUUUGUCGUAUGUGUUAAAAGAUCCUUGUAAAAAUCAGAUCAAACUAUGGAGCAUAUUGUGCUUCUAGUUUUUUUCAUACUGAUAACAUUGUCGUGAUUUGAGUACUUAUCUUAUAGGGUUUUGUUUCUUUUUUUUUUUUCCCCUUUCUUUUUCCUAUCAAUAUAAAUGAUUGUUAACUGUGGUUUUGGCAUAAGUGCAGAAACUUCAGAAGCAACACAACUGUAUUCACUAUGAUCAGACACUGCUUGCAGUAAGAUACUAAGAUUCUUCCAUCACUAUUUAGCUUUGCUAUUUGUGAUGCAUGGUCUUGAAGGUCAACUUGAACGUAGAACGUUGAUCUAUACCCUGUGGAACCAGUCUACAAAGAUGGAGAAUAAAGGCUGGCAUCCUAUUACUUUCAGCUAUGCAAAUGCUAGCCCUCAAGGAUAAAAGGAAAUGAAGGUUAUCUUCUGAUACCUUAUAUUAUACCUGUGCAUAGAUUUAGCUGCAUAAUUGGUGGAUAAUUGAGAACUACUUGUGCAGAGAUUUUAUUCUUUUUUGUCAAUAGUUCUAUUAAUUAUCAUAGUCUGCAAAAUUAUGCUCAAUUACUGACCUACUUUCACAUAUACUUGGUACCUCAAAUGGGAUUGGUAUACACAGAAUAGCAUACACCACACAAAGAUUUUGAAGACCCUAGUAACAACAUAUUCCUAGGUAGCUGUGGCUGAAUCAGUUAAUUUGGAUGUAACAAUCUAAUAGGACCAUAUUUUAUCUGUGUUUAGCUAAUUACGUAUCUAUCACGUAUAGUACAGUUAUCAGUUAGAUAAAGUGAUAAUUACAGUAUAAAGAGAAGCAUUUUUCUUUUUAUAUUUUCGGUAUUGGAGAAGCGUUAUUCUCAAAAGCUCACGUCAGUUCCACAGUGAGUGAUGGGGGUGAUAGUGUAUUAGUAGCUCAUAAUUCUAUCUUUGAAGCAGAAAUCAAUUGAAGAAAAAGUCAUUGAUUCAAGAGAAAGUUGAACAGGUGAACAAUAAUUACGUAUCUACUUAGUGUAAUAGGUGAACAAUAAUUACGUAUCUACUUAGUGUGAUUAAUAACAGCUAUAUAUUUGCAUGUUGUUUAACUAUGAUCAUGGUGUGUAUCACAUUGCAUAAGUGACUUUGUAUGGCAUUGUUAUCUGAUAGCUGCAGCUUUUUCUAUAAGUAGUAGUAAUAGAGAGAGAAGAACU
Molecule: non-coding RNA, 1426 nt
Organism: Arachis ipaensis
Lineage: Eukaryota; Viridiplantae; Streptophyta; Magnoliopsida; Fabales; Fabaceae
Source: RefSeq, a predicted model, not a curated record